This 179-nucleotide small RNA is filed under the name Chrysemys picta bellii (western painted turtle). RNAcentral describes it as "TUC338 (ENSCPBG00000011791.1)". The record is from RNAcentral. Lineage: Eukaryota; Metazoa; Chordata; Testudines; Emydidae.
CUGACAGCCCUGCAAACCAAAGUCAUCUAUUUGUGCACCAGACAGGUACAGGAUAGGAAGCAACAGUGCAUGCUUCCCUACACUGCCCUGCCAUUGUGCCUCAAACCUGAUCUGGAGGUCCCACCUCUAGGAGUGAGAUGGUCAUUCCAUCUCUAUAGUACAUUCAGGCCUUGGUCUUU